AUUGAACGCUGGCGGCAUGCCUAACACAUGCAAGUCGAACGGGGUGUAGCAAUACAUCUAGUGGCGGACGGGUGAGGAAUACAUAGGAAUUUGCCCUUAAGUGGGGGAUAGUCCGGGGAAACUCGGUUUAAUACCGCAUGAUCUCGUGAGAGCAAAGCAGGGGACCGCAAGGCCUUGCGCUUUUGGAGAAGCCUAUGUCGGAUUAGCUAGUUGGUAGGGUAAUGGCCUACCAAGGCAACGAUCCGUAACUGUCUGAGAGGAUGAUCAGUCACACCGGAACUGAGACACGGUCCGGACUCCUACGGGAGGCAGCAGUGGGGAAGUAUUGGACAAUGGCGGCAAGCCUGAUCCAGCAAUGCCGCGUGUGUGAAGAAGGCCUCGG
RNAcentral lists this ribosomal RNA (382 nucleotides) under uncultured bacterium. RNAcentral's name for it is "bacterial SSU rRNA". It matches the Rfam family "Bacterial small subunit ribosomal RNA", at positions 30 to 420 of the family's 1533-position model. The record is from RNAcentral.